This 529-nucleotide ribosomal RNA is filed under the name Hypocreales sp. Its description in RNAcentral is "eukaryotic LSU rRNA". It matches the Rfam family "Eukaryotic large subunit ribosomal RNA", at positions 39 to 578 of the family's 3401-position model. The record is from RNAcentral. Lineage: Eukaryota; Fungi; Ascomycota; Sordariomycetes; Hypocreales.
CAUAUCAAUAAGCGGAGGAAAAGAAACCAACAGGGAUUGCCCCAGUAACGGCGAGUGAAGCGGCAACAGCUCAAAUUUGAAAUCUGGCCCUCGGGUCCGAGUUGUAAUUUGUAGAGGAUGCUUUUGGCGAGGUGCCUUCCGAGUUCCCUGGAACGGGACGCCAUAGAGGGUGAGAGCCCCGUCUGGUCGGACACCGAGCCUCUGUAAAGCUCCUUCGACGAGUCGAGUAGUUUGGGAAUGCUGCUCAAAAUGGGAGGUAUAUGUCUUCUAAAGCUAAAUACUGGCCAGAGACCGAUAGCGCACAAGUAGAGUGAUCGAAAGAUGAAAAGCACUUUGAAAAGAGGGUUAAAAAGUACGUGAAAUUGUUGAAAGGGAAGCGCCUAUGACCAGACUUGCGCCCGGUGAAUCAUCCAGCGUUCUCGCUGGUGCACUUUGCCGGGCACAGGCCAGCAUCAGUUUGGCACGGGGGAAAAAGGCUUCGGGAAUGUGGCUCCCUCGGGAGUGUUAUAGCCCGCUGCGUAAUACCCUG